This 64-nucleotide transfer RNA is filed under the name Tinodes chinchinus. RNAcentral describes it as "tRNA-Ala". The record is from RNAcentral. Lineage: Eukaryota; Metazoa; Arthropoda; Insecta; Trichoptera; Psychomyiidae.
AGGAUUAUAGUUUAAUUAAAACAUUUGAUUUGCAUUCAAAAAUUAUUUAUGAAAAUUUAUCUUA